CAAACCAUUAGGCUUCCUUUAAGUGUCUUUCAGAUAUUACAAAGAGAGCAGAUAAAUUAUUUAAUGACAAAAUGCUCAUUUUUAGGGUUGCUCGAAGUUCCAGGGAUCUUCCGUUCAAUGGAAAGAAUAUCCAAGGAAAGCUUGUUCACCGAAACCAUCACUUCUUGGGAUUGGUGAGAUGACAUUCUUGCUCGUGAAGAUGAAGGACAAGAAAUGCUUUGGAUUGAGGUCCUAUACUAAUCCACAGCCAUCACACGCCCACCAUAUUGUUCUGCUGGACCUGGACCCAGAGGUAACUCACUGAGAAUUAUGGCUGUGUCCUGGGGUUAAGCUGGGUACGUGGUGAUGCACUGUGGCCAUUUUGCAGACUGCUCUGGCUUCUGGAGCUGAGAUUGAUAAAAAAAAAAGAACAGGUUUUGUGGCUGGUCUGCCUGGGAGAAGACACAGUGGCCAUGGACUGGGAAAUGCCGUUCACUGAGGCCCUGCAGGAGAGAUGUCUUCCUGCUGCUUUUGUAGGAGCUCGGGAGGCAAGAUUUGGUGAUCUUCCUCUGACAGCUGAGCACUAGUCACUGCUGCCAAGUGCUCACAGGA
Molecule: long non-coding RNA, 591 nt
Filed under: Numida meleagris (helmeted guineafowl)
Lineage: Eukaryota; Metazoa; Chordata; Aves; Galliformes; Numididae
Description: lncRNA (ENSNMEG00000005850.1)
Source: RNAcentral